Molecule: ribosomal RNA, 433 nt
Filed under: uncultured bacterium
Lineage: Bacteria
Description: partial 16S ribosomal RNA
Rfam family: Bacterial small subunit ribosomal RNA
Source: RNAcentral
AACGAACGCUGGCGGCAUGCCUAACACAUGCAAGUCGAACGAGACCUUCGGGUCUAGUGGCGCACGGGUGCGUAACGCGUGGGAACCUGCCCUUAGGUUCGGAAUAACUCCCCGAAAGGGGUGCUAAUACCGGAUAAUGUCUUCGGCCCAAAGAUUUAUCGCCUUUGGUUGGGCCCGCGUUGGAUUAGCUAGUUGGUAGGGUAAAAGCCUACCAAGGCGACGAUCCAUAGCUGGUCUGAGAGGAUGAUCAGCCACACUGGGACUGAGACACGGCCCAGACUCCUACGGGAGGCAGCAGUGGGGAAUAUUGGACAAUGGGCGAAAGCAUGAUCCAGCAAUGCCGCGUGAGUGAUGAAGGCCUUAGGGUUGUAAAGCUCUUUUAACCGGGAUGAUAAUGACAGUACCGGGAGAAUAAGCGCCGGCUAACUCCGUG